RNAcentral lists this ribosomal RNA (253 nucleotides) under uncultured bacterium. RNAcentral describes it as "partial 16S ribosomal RNA". It matches the Rfam family "Bacterial small subunit ribosomal RNA", at positions 524 to 776 of the family's 1533-position model. The record is from RNAcentral.
UACGGAGGGAGCUAGCGUUGUUCGGAAUUACUGGGCGUAAAGCGCACGUAGGCGGCUUUGUAAGUUAGAGGUGAAAGCCCGGGGCUCAACCCCGGAAUUGCCUUUAAGACUGCGUCGCUUGAAUCCAGGAGAGGUGAGUGGAAUUCCGAGUGUAGAGGUGAAAUUCGUAGAUAUUCGGAAGAACACCAGUGGCGAAGGCGGCUCACUGGACUGGUAUUGACGCUGAGGUGCGAAAGCGUGGGGAGCAAACAGG